This 1407-nucleotide long non-coding RNA is filed under the name Fragaria vesca (wild strawberry). RNAcentral's name for it is "long non-coding RNA (FVES_LNC001987)". The record is from RNAcentral. Lineage: Eukaryota; Viridiplantae; Streptophyta; Magnoliopsida; Rosales; Rosaceae.
AAAUUUGGACAUGUUUAUCAAACGAUGAUAUUGCUUCCCAUAGAAGCGUACAAGGAAGUUUAGUGUAAGCGCAUAGUUGACCCGUGUGAUCGAGACUUGAACUUUUUUGAAAUUGGAUAAGUUUUUUACCAGAUUCAUAUUUAACUACAUCGAAUACAUAGUAUGGUCAGAUUUGGUAAAUUUUAUUUCAUAUAUAUAGUUAGUUUAGAAAGAUGUAUGUUUCGAUAUAUCUUUGGUAAACAUCUUAUAACAGAUUAGCAUAAUAUUGUGAUUCAAAUGACAAAAAUAAACAAAAUGAAAGUUUGAGUGUUAGAUCUUAUCAUUAUAAUGAAAAAUGGCUAUGGUACAAAAUUCAGCGAUUUUCGAAGAUGUUCGGGUCUCGGUCGAUAUGGUCAAAUCGAUCUUUCUUUAUUCAAUACAGACUACAUAUAUAUGUCGUUUGAUGAAUACAUAAAUAAGUCAAAAACAAUUGACCGAAAAGAGGGUUUAGAGGUUUCAUUGGGAGUCGGGCUAGGCUAGUAGUGACUAAUUAGUUUGUGAAGUCAGAUAUCAUUUUUAUGUUGUGUGAUCAAGAUUACAAAGCAUUUAGGUUAGAAAGGUCUUGCGCUGCAUCACUAAGUCUAAAGGCAGUGCUCUCUUUUCAUCACUCUCUCAAAACACGCCAAGUCUUGAAACACACUCUCUCGACCUCGAGCUCUACCCAGCCGUUUCUUUUCAUCACACACAUGCACAAACACACUCUCUAUCUCUCUCUACUCUACCCAGCCGUUCGGACUUGCUACCUCUCUCGAUUAGGUAACCCCCCUCUCUCUCUCAUACUUCGUAUCGUUUUGCUUUUUACGGUUUUAUAGAUUUCGUUAUUCGUUUUGAUUCAUUGGGUUUUAUAGAUUAAGGGUUUGAUUGUGAGUUUAGGGGUUUUGAUUCACCUAUUGGCUUGUUCGUUUUGGUUAUUUAAAAGUGGUUGUUUGCUGACUUACUUCAUAUAUGCUCAAGGAGGAGGAAGAGGAUCUGGAGAUCGGUUGGUGAUCGGUUCAUAUAUGUUCAAGGUUUGGCAUCCGCGUCAGCAACACAUUCGGUAGAUCUCCUACCUCAGUUUUGACUUUGAUUUUGUUUCUGAGUGUGGUAAAUAUUUAGUUGUUUGUGUUUAAAGUUUGAUAGCCUUUUCUUGUGUGAUAAAUUUUAUGAAUCAAGUAAUUGGAAUCUAGAGAUUAGCUGUUUUUUCAUCCCCUGCAUUAAUGCACAGAGUGAGUUGAGUGAAUUGUAAUUUUGCAGAGGGUUGAAGUUGAUGCUUGUUUUUAUGAAUGUGUGUGUUGAUAGGAGCAUAAAAUACGACAUUCUUAAUGUGUUAUUACCUCCAUUUUGUAUUUUGAUUAUCUCUUAUUGUCGUAGAAUAGAGUCAUAAUGUAG